RNAcentral lists this ribosomal RNA (253 nucleotides) under uncultured bacterium. RNAcentral describes it as "partial 16S ribosomal RNA". It matches the Rfam family "Bacterial small subunit ribosomal RNA", at positions 524 to 776 of the family's 1533-position model. The record is from RNAcentral.
UACGAAGGGGGCUAGCGUUGCUCGGAAUUACUGGGCGUAAAGCGCACGUAGGCGGCUUUCUAAGUCGGGGGUGAAAUCCUGGAGCUCAACUCCAGAACUGCCUUCGAUACUGGAAAGCUCGAGUCCGGGAGAGGCGAGUGGAACUGCGAGUGUAGAGGUGAAAUUCGUAGAUAUUCGCAAGAACACCAGUGGCGAAGGCGGCUCACUGGCCCGGUACUGACGCUGAGGUGCGAAAGCGUGGGGAGCAAACAGG